GUGGGGAAUAUUGGGCAAUGGGCGCAAGCCUGACCCAGCAACGCCGCGUGAAGGAAGAAGGCUUUCGGGUUGUAAACUUCUUUUACCAGGGACGAAACAAAUGACGGUACCUGGUGAAUAAGCCACGGCUAACUACGUGCCAGCAGCCGCGGUAAUACGUAGGUGGCGAGCGUUAUCCGGAUUUAUUGGGUGUAAAGGGCGUGUAGGCGGGACAGCAAGUCAGAUGUGAAAACCAGAGGCUCAACCUCUGGCCUGCAUUUGAAACUGUAGUUCUUGAGUGUCGGAGAGGUAAUCGGAAUUCCGUGUGUAGCGGUGAAAUGCGUAGAUAUACGGAGGAACACCAGUGGCGAAGGCGGAUUACUGGACGAUAACUGACGCUGAGGCGCGAAAGCGUGGGGAGCAAACAGGAUUAGAAACCCCUGUAGUCC
Molecule: ribosomal RNA, 428 nt
Filed under: uncultured bacterium
Lineage: Bacteria
Description: partial 16S ribosomal RNA
Rfam family: Bacterial small subunit ribosomal RNA
Source: RNAcentral